RNAcentral lists this long non-coding RNA (1347 nucleotides) under Pan paniscus (pygmy chimpanzee). Its description in RNAcentral is "lncRNA (ENSPPAG00000045523.1)". Lineage: Eukaryota; Metazoa; Chordata; Mammalia; Primates; Hominidae. The record is from RNAcentral.
GUUCUAGCUAUAAAAUUCAUAAAAUACUUUAAUAAAAGCUCCAUAAAAUGUCAACACCCUGUCUGAGAUUCUGUCCCAUUUGAAAUGAAAACCAAGGCUAACAUAAACAAAUUACAAAGAAGUUAGUUUUUGAUAUAUAAAACCCAGUUUUUAGAAUAUGAUGCUAUUUUUGAUGAAAUAGUGAAAGAGAACAAAGCUGGAUUUGACUUGAUUCUCUUGAUGAUACAGUCAGAGUUUAUAAAUCUGUGUUGCUCCUGUGUCUGCACAGACAGAAUCUGGAGAUGUUAAUUUUUUGUCAUUUGGCUUCUAGAUGUCCUUGGCGUGUACACCCUGUGGAAUCUGGUUCAUCUUCAAUCUGUCAGAAGGCAUCAGAGGUGGUUUUGACUCCUUAUGUCUUGGACCUGUGCACAAAAAGUACGGGCAGGAGAGGAUGCAGGAGACUGUACAAAGUUCAAGAAACGAUAUGCUUUAAUCAAGGUAUUUUACUGAUGAAUUUGGAAGCCUGAAUUAAGGACUCAUUUAUUCAAAACACUACUUCUCAGGAGAGUUUUAUAUUUUUUCUUCCUUUUAUUUGUUUCUCUUUUCUGUUUUUUUAUAUCAAAUAAUUUUUCUUUUAUAACUUAUAUUUUUCUUGUAAGCCACUAUAAGUUCCUUUUGGAAAGACAUGGUCUACAAAUCAAUCUAUAUAAUAUUUUAUUAUUGAACUAUAAAAGAAUUACUGUCCCUAGAUGUCCAUCAUCAAGAAACUGGAAAUAUAGGCUGGGCGCGGUGGCUCAUCCUUGUAAUUCCAGCACUUUGGGAGGCUGAGGUGGAUGGAUCACUUGAGGUCAGGAGUUCAAGACCAGCUGGCCAACAUGGUGAAACUCCAUCUCUAUUAAAAAUAGAAAAUUAGCCGAGUGUGGUGGUGCGUGCCUAUAAUCCCAGCUACUCGGGAAGCUGAGGCAGGAGAAUCGCUUGAACCUGGGAGGCAGAGGUUGCAGUGAGCCGAGAUCGCACCACUGCACUCCAGCCUGGGUGACAGAGCGAGACUCUGUCUCAAAAAUAAAUAAAUAAAUAAAUAAAAUAAAAAAGAGAAAUUGGAAAAACAAGCCUUGGUACAAAUGCUGUACUAACUGUUAAAAAUAUAUUUUAAUUGACUUGGAAAGAUGUUUGUGAAUUUUUUAUGAGAGAAAGAGCAGGUCACAUAGUACUGUGCAUAUUGACAUGAUUUUAAUAUAGGACUGUUUAUGUCCAUCUGUCUAUCCGCGGAGGCGGGCGGAUCACGAGGCCCCUUCCAUAUAUGCCCAUAUUUAUAUAUGUCUAUAAAGAGGUCUGGAAGGGAAUUUGGCAAACAGUGACAAUCUAUGG